Molecule: long non-coding RNA, 854 nt
Organism: Zophobas morio
Lineage: Eukaryota; Metazoa; Arthropoda; Insecta; Coleoptera; Tenebrionidae
Exons: 2
Source: RefSeq, a predicted model, not a curated record
GCCUCUUCAAGUAUGUUUUUUGUUACUGCUUGGUCAAGGUCAUAAUAUACUGGUUGCUUCCAAUUGGAGCAUAAUCCCCGAGCAGUCAUCACCUGAACCGUGCGAUUGGGACCAAAUACCAUUUCGUAUUUUUUCUCUAAACAAAUUUGACUUUUGAUGAACAUUUCAUCAAAACUUAUGACUGUUAGCCGUUCAAUAACUGAAAGAUCCUUUGCUUUUUGCUGCAUUAACUUUGCAACAUUUUUUAGGUGUCCUGGUCUAACGUCAAAUGUAGCAGCCCAACGUCGCAGUGUGCUCAGGGAUGGAAGAGGGAAAUGACAAUGGUAUUUUAGAUCCACUUUUGUCUGGUGUGAAAGGACCUGCUGUAGAUGAACGUCGAGCUAUCGGCGACUGUUGAGCACAGGGUGAUCGUCGCGUAAUAGGUGAACGUUGUGCUGAAGACGAAUUUUGAGAAGCUACAGAAACAGUUUUUGUCGGUACUGCUGACAUCAUGAUGCGUUUUCUCGUGGGAGGACUAUAAUCCAAAAGUUUUUGUUGAAGGGAUUUAUAGUCGAAUUUGUCCGAAAAAUGUUGGGAACAAAUACGAGCUGAAAUCAAUUGUUUUGAUGUCUUGUAUGUAACGUAAUAACUGACAGGUUCUAAUGACUGCUAGAUUUACCAUUUUUUGUGUUGAGAACGCGCGUACUGUUACAAAAUUGCACCCAUUUUUCACACAACUCGGGGUCUUUGGGAAAUCUAUAAAAAUGUACAUUUUUUGUUUUUCGUUGGUUAUUUUUACAACCAGACACUGCACAAGUUGCCAUCACAAAUUAAAUUAUUGGUGUAUCGUAAGGCUAAUAAAAACUAACUAGUCA